GAGUUUGAAUCUGGCUCAGAUUUGAACGCUGGCGGCAGGCUUAACACAUGCAAGUCGAACGGUAGCAGGAGAAAGCUUGCUUUCUUGCUGACGAGUGGCGGACGGGUGAGUAAUGCUUGGGAAUCUAGCUUAUGGAGGGGGAUAACUACGGGAAACUGUGGCUAAUACCGCGUAGUAUCGUAAGAUGAAAGUGCGGGACCGUAAGGCCGCAUGCCAUGAGAUGAGCCCAAGUGGGAUUAGGUAGUUGGUGGGGUAAAGGCCUACCAAGCCUGCGAUCUCUAGCUGGUCUGAGAGGAUGGCCAGCCACACUGGAACUGAGACACGGUCCAGACUCCUACGGGAGGCAGCAGUGGGGAAUAUUGCGCAAUGGGGGGAACCCUGACGCAGCCAUGCCGCGUGAAUGAAGAAGGCCUUCGGGUUGUAAAGUUCUUUCGGUAUUGAGGAAGGAGUGUAUGUUAAUAGCAUACAUUAUUGACGUUAAAUACAGAAGAAGCACCGGCUAACUCCGUGCCAGCAGCCGCGGUAAUACGGAGGGUGCGAGCGUUAAUCGGAAUAACUGGGCGUAAAGGGCACGCAGGCGGUUAUUUAAGUGAGGUGUGAAAGCCCCGGGCUUAACCUGGGAAUUGCAUUUCAGACUGGGUAACUAGAGUACUUUAGGGAGGGGUAGAAUUCCACGUGUAGCGGUGAAAUGCGUAGAGAUGUGGAGGAAUACCGAAGGCGAAGGCAGCCCCUUGGGAAUGUACUGACGCUCAUGUGCGAAAGCGUGGGGAGCAAACAGGAUUAGAUACCCUGGUAGUCCACGCUGUAAACGCUGUCGAUUUGGGGAUUGAGCUUUAAGCUUGGUGCCCGUAGCUAACGUGAUAAAUCGACCGCCUAGGGAGUACGGCCACAAGGUUAAAACUCAAAUGAAUUGACGGGGGCCCGCACAAGCGGUGGAGCAUGUGGUUUAAUUCGAUGCAACGCGAAGAACCUUACCUACUCUUGACAUCCAUGGAAUCCUGUAGAGAUACGGGAGUGCCUUCGGGAACCAUGAGACAGGUGCUGCAUGGCUGUCGUCAGCUCGUGUUGUGAAAUGUUGGGUUAAGUCCCGCAACGAGCGCAAACCCUUAUCCUUUGUUGCCAGCGAUUUGGUCGGGAAACUCAAAAGGAGACUGCCAGUGAUAAAACUGGAGGAAGGUGGGGAUGACGUCAAAGUCAUCAUGGCCCUUACGAGUAGGGCUACGCGCGUGCUACGAAUGGCGUAUACAGAGGGUGGCGAAGGCUGCGAGGUGGGGCGAAUUCUCGAAAGUGACGGUCUAAGUUCCGGAUUGGAGUCUGCGGACUCGGACUCCGUAAGCUCGAAAUUCGGCUGUGAUUCGCGUAUUCAGAAUGUCGCGGUUAGUCGUUCCCGGGCCGUGGCGCCCCCCCCCG
RNAcentral lists this ribosomal RNA (1410 nucleotides) under uncultured bacterium. RNAcentral describes it as "bacterial SSU rRNA". It matches the Rfam family "Bacterial small subunit ribosomal RNA". The record is from RNAcentral.